This 391-nucleotide unclassified non-coding RNA is filed under the name soil metagenome. Its description in RNAcentral is "partial contains 5.8S ribosomal RNA, internal transcribed spacer 2, and large subunit ribosomal RNA". The stretch from base 1 to 122 matches the Rfam family "5.8S ribosomal RNA", at positions 35 to 154 of the family's 154-position model. The record is from RNAcentral.
GAUGAAGAACGCAGCGAAAUGCGAUACGUAGUGUGAAUUGCAGAAUCCCGUGAACCAUCGAGUCUUUGAACGCAAGUUGCGCCCGAAGCCAUUAGGCCGAGGGCACGCCUGCCUGGGCGUCACACGUCGUUGCCCCCCCAUCUAAUCCUUCGGGAUUGCGGGGGGCGGAUGAUGGCCUCCCGUGCGCCUCGUCGCGCGGUUGGCAUAAAUGCCAAGUCCUCGGCGACGCACGCCACGACAAUCGGUGGUUGCGAAACCUCGGUUGCCCGUUGUGUGCGGUCGUCGCGCAUCGAGGGCUCGAAAAAAUUGCCGGGCUCCGGCUCGACUUUCAACGCGACCCCAGGUCAGGCGGGGUUACCCGCUGAAUUUAAGCAUAUCAAUAAGCGGAGGA